UGGGGAACCCCCUUGAAAGAGGGGGGUGCGGAGCAAUCCGAGCCCCAAGACAGGUGCUGCAUGGCUGUCGUCAGCUCGUGUCGUGAGAUGUUGGGUUAAGUCCCGCAACGAGCGCAACCCUUGUCUCUAGUUGCCAGCAUUCAGUUGGGCACUUUAGAGAGACUGCCGGUGAUAAACCGGAGGAAGGUGGGGACGACGUCAAGUCCUCAUGGCCUUUAUGCCCAGGGCUACACACGUGCUACAAUGGGCGGUACAAAGGGCUGCGAACCCGCGAGGGGGAGCCAAUCCCAAAAAACCGUCCUCAGUUCGGAUUGGAGUCUGCAACUCGCCUGCGUGAAGCCGGAAUCGCUAGUAAUUGCGGAUCAGCCACGCCGCGGUGAAUACGUUCUCGGGCCUUGUACACACCGCCCGUCACAUCACGAAAGCUGGUCGUACCCAAAGUCGCUGUGCCAACCCGCAAGGGAGGUAGGCGCCCAAGGCAUGGUCGGUGAUUGGGGUGAAGUCGUAACAAGGUAACC
RNAcentral lists this ribosomal RNA (518 nucleotides) under uncultured bacterium. Its description in RNAcentral is "bacterial SSU rRNA". It matches the Rfam family "Bacterial small subunit ribosomal RNA", at positions 989 to 1501 of the family's 1533-position model. The record is from RNAcentral.